UUGUGCCAGCAGCCGCGGUAAUUCCAGCUCCAAUAGCGUAUAUUAAAGUUGUUGCAGUUAAAAAGCUCGUAGUUGGAUUUCUGGGAGGGUGCCAAUGUCCGCCGACGUGCGUGCGCAGCGGCGCCCUCUCAUCCUUCUGUUAACGUCUCUCGGCAUUCACUUGCCGGUGGCGGGCUCAGAUAUUUUACCUUGAGAAAAUUAGAGUGUUUCAGGCAGGCUAGGCCGGAAUACAUUAGCAUGGAAUAAUGGAAUAGGACUUCGGUCUCUUUGUUGGUUUGAGGGACUGCAGUAAUGAUUAAUAGGGAUAGUUGGGGGCAUUAGUAUUUAAUUGUCAGAGGUGGAAUUCUCGGAUUUGUUAAAGACUAACUUAUGCGAAAGCAUUUGCCAAGGAUGUUUUCAUUAAUCAAGAACGAAAGUUAGGGGAUCAAAGACGAUCAGAUACCGUCCUAGUCUUAACCAUAAACUAUGCCGACUCGGGAUCGGGGGCGCGAACUAUCCGCCUUCGGCACCGUAUGAGAAAUCAAAGUCUUUGGGUUCCGGGGGGAGUAUGGUCGCAAGGCUGAAACUUAAAGGAAUUGACGGAAGGGCACCACCAGGAGUGGAGCCUGCGGCUUAAUUUGACUCAACACGGGAAAUCUCACCAGGCCCGGACACUGGCAGGAUUGACAGAUUGAGAGCUCUUUCUCGAUUCAGUGGGUGGUGGUGCAUGGCCGUUCUUAGUUGGUGGAGUGAUUUGUCUGGUUAAUUCCGAUAACGAACGAGACUCUGUCCUGCUAAAUAGGUGUGCCGUCUCUUUUGCGGUACACAUUCUUCUUAGAGGGACUGGCGGCGUCUAGCCGCACGAGAUUGAGCAAUAACAGGUCUGUGAUGCCCAAG
RNAcentral lists this ribosomal RNA (876 nucleotides) under uncultured eukaryote. RNAcentral describes it as "bacterial SSU rRNA". It matches the Rfam family "Eukaryotic small subunit ribosomal RNA", at positions 562 to 1476 of the family's 1831-position model. The record is from RNAcentral.